RNAcentral lists this ribosomal RNA (510 nucleotides) under uncultured bacterium. RNAcentral describes it as "partial 16S ribosomal RNA". It matches the Rfam family "Bacterial small subunit ribosomal RNA", at positions 28 to 507 of the family's 1533-position model. The record is from RNAcentral.
GACGAACGCUGGCGGCGUGCUUAACACAUGCAAGUCGAACGAAGAGCGAUGGAAGCUUGCUUCUAUCAAUCUUAGUGGCGAACGGGUGAGUAACGCGUAAUCAACCUGCCCUUCAGAGGGGGACAACAGUUGGAAACGACUGCUAAUACCGCAUACGAUCUAAUCUCGGCAUCGAGGAUAGAUGAAAGGUGGCCUCUACAUGUAAGCUAUCACUGAAGGAGGGGAUUGCGUCUGAUUAGCUAGUUGGAGGGGUAACGGCCCACCAAGGCGAUGAUCAGUAGCCGGUCUGAGAGGAUGAACGGCCACAUUGGGACUGAGACACGGCCCAGACUCCUACGGGAGGCAGCAGUGGGGAAUCUUCCGCAACGGACGAAAGUCUGACGGAGCAACGCCGCGUGAGCGAUGACGGCCUUCGGGUUGUAAAGCUCUGUUAAUCGGGACGAAAGGCCUUCUUGCGAAUAGUGAGAAGGAUUGACGGUACCGGAAUAGAAAGCCACGGCUAACUACGUG